AUGAUUUGGGUUCAUGGAGCUUUCUGGAUAUUUAAGAGAAAGAAGCCCUUUCACCAAAGGUUGAGCUCUCCCAGCAGAUGCAUGCCCCAGCGUGCUGGCAGCAGAGAAGCCCCUUGUGAGGAAGCAUCUCCCUGCAUUCAUAGCCACAGAGGUUGGGACUGUGUGAGCACCCCUAGUGGAGAGCCCAGAACAGAGAUGGGAGGUGGCAGAGAUGCCCUCUGCCUGGAAGGCACCCUUACCUCAGUGAGCAACCUCACCUUCCUUCUCAGCUCAGGACGUGACCCACGUUGCAAGGUGCAUCUCAACAGCUGUGACCUGACUAACAAAGUGGUGAUCUGGAGAUGUGUCCCGUUGAAAUCACUGGGAUCAACUAUCAAGGUCAAAGCAAGGUUUGCAUCUGCCGCUGAUCUGAAGCCUACUGCAGAUGUUUGCUCAGAGCUUUAUUUUUCAGACUGCAUGCUUUUGUUGACUUUGAUAGGAUUAUUUGCCCCAGUUUAGUGCAUGGAGUCACAGCCGUAUGUGUGGGUCUGGGCUUUAAUCUGCUAUCAGAAGCCUCCGUUCACAUUCCUCCCCCUGUCCCUGCACUACAGAUCUCACCUUCUUGCAUUAUGUCUACUCAAACCUGCUGCAAAAUGUUUUGUCCACUCACAGGUAUAGCUGAAAAAUCAUAGUGCAGAAGACAGAGUGUUACCCUGUGCUUGAGAGCAUCUGUAGAAAUGUGGAGCUGCUGGCAUUGAACUCGUGCUUUAUGAUGAACACCAGUAUAUAUUUAGUCUUCUUAAAUAUUAUUUGAUAUAUAUAUAUAUAUAUUAUUAUGAUGCUGCUUGAAUCAGUGUAGGGAUGGAGUGAAAGUAUUAUUUGGAACAGAGGAUUAGGAAAAUAAUUCUAUCAAAAAAAUUAGCAUGUUGGAUAAAAACAUGUGGCCAUAUGGAUUGCAACCAAUAACACCCAAAGAUUUUAAGACUGAAGUCACACCAAAGGAAGAAGUAAACACUGUCCCUGUCUGCUGGCAACAUUCUGCUUUCAGCUGCUGUUAUCAUUUCAAAAUAACCCUCAUGUGAGUGAGUGGAAGAGAAUUCCUUGUGCUGCACCUCAGCAUGGAUGCUGUGCUCUUGUUCUUCCGUGUGGUGCAUAUCACAGAGGAGGAAGCUGAAGGAACUCACUGCAUGUGUUCUCCCAUCCUACCAAGUCCAGAAAUGCCUUUCAGAGCAGUACUGUACGGUCACAAAACUGUACUCAGUUAAAAGACUGUUGUGACAUUAUUAUUAGAAAUAGCUGCAGCAACGACUUGCCAAAUGAACCAUUAAAAGAAAACCAGAUUCACUGAACCACAGCAAAAUUCAUUAAAGCUUGCUUUGGGCAACAUAUGGUUUUUGAAGGUCUCUAUCUUUUUAACCAUUCAUCUCUUCCAGUAUCUGUGGCAAAGCCCUCCACCUCUCCUUUUGUUUCAUUUGAAUGUAAAUACUCAUGUACAAUAAUGCACGUUUCCUUUAGUGACAAGCUCACUUGGCAGUGUCACUGGUACAUCAGACAAUCUACCGACACAUAGAAAUGUGAACAUCCAAAACAAACAAACAAAAAACCACGAACAAACAAAAAACAACAACUUUAUACUGUUAAAGUAAGUGAUAAAUUAUUUCUGCUUGGGGAACACUAGUUAAGACUUUUUGGCUGUUGCUUUUUCUCUUUAGUUGAGUAGUUUCUGGUCUUCAGUCUAAAGUUUCAGAGAUCCUAAACGACAUUUAUUUCAGGUGAUGAAUGAGAGAUCCAAACCCGAUUCCUGUAAAUGGAAGACUCACAAUUAGAGCCCACUGUGUAAAGUACGGGCAGUAGCUUGCCUGUUCCUCGGAGCACGUGCCCACACUGCCGUCUAGCUUCUGCAGAGGUUGUUGCACGCUUUUGCUUCAUUCUAGCUGAUUACAUUCAUACGCUGGGCAGCAUUACCGAGCCACCUGUGGUGGCUGGGGCAUCACGACAUGGGCUUCUGUUCUUGGACAGGGUCCCCUGACAUGCCACCCUCUGCUGGUCUCGGUGCUGUCUUCCACUUGCUGUGCCUCUCUCCUGUCCUUAUUCUGUGUCUCAUGCUAUAUAUACCAUGCAUACAACUAUUUUUUCUCUUUCACCACAAAAAUCUUAAGUUUUCUCGUUAGGACUACAGGCAUCUUAUAUACAGUCACUACUGGGAUCUUAAAAGGUCAUUAGGCUUCCAUUUACUAUGCUAUGAGCUUGUGUAUAUUUACCAAAAUCUGUAUUUAUACAGUUUUUAGGUUACAGGUAGUGUUGCAAAAAAAAGCAGACAGGAAAAUAGAAAGCAAAUACUUAUUAUUAAGACAACAGGGAUCUGUUAAACUGUGGCUUGAACUUGUGUAAUUCGUCCAAACAAUCUGUAAUGCAGGAAUUAAGCCAUUACGUUCCAGCUUCCUUGCUGCUAUAAUUCAGGAGAAAUUGAUUAUCAUUGGUAGAUUAAGGUGUUUUGAGGUAGAAUUCAGCCCACGGUUUCCUGUUUUGUUUCCAUUUCUUGACUUUCUUCCACAGUCUUCAUUAAGUAAUUCAGCUACAGCAUUAGCUAUCCUUACAUAUUCCUGUCAACCUUAUAAUUAACAUGUAUCCAUGGGUACUGCCUCACGUUAGUGAGGCAAGGUCGCAUUUGAAGGGGAAUCUUUUUGCAUCCGUUGAAGCAGCUGUUAGUGUGGCUGCAUACCUGGAUGAAUCAAUUAAUCAUUUCAUUAAGCUAAAGUGCCUCUUAGCGAUGCUAAUCAAAAGCAUGCUGAUCACAAUUUUCCCAAACAACCCCCUGAAACCUAAACAAACAAACAGAACACUUCGUGACUAACAAACACGCUCUGCUGUCACAAACAGGCUAAGCUUUGUUUAACAUAAUCAUCAUAAUAAUAAGAUCUGAAGGGGAUUUCGUCGGCAUUAUGAAUAUGUUCCUUUAGGGAUGAUAGGCAUUAGCAAAAGAGCCAUCCCUGGUGAUUGCAUCUGAAUGGUUAAUGCUGCUGAAGGCAUGGUUAUUUGCUAUACCAUUUUGGACAGGAAACGUUUUCUGAUCUUCACUGCAUCUUUGUGGGUGAGGAGAGCUGGCUGCUCCUGGCCCUUCCUGGGACACCCCUGGUGCAAGCUGAGGGGUUUUGCACAUGCUCCCUGACUUCCACAGGCAAGCACAGGACUAGCCAAGCACAGAGUUUGGAAGGGAAGGGGAGCUGGAAUACACAACACAGGUGGUAGUGCUGAAAGUGGGCAGCUUCAGGGGAAUUUUCCUGAGAGGUAUGCAUGUACAUGUAAAUAAAUGAGACAACUGGCAUCAAAACUGCAUAGGAACUGAAUUUUUAACAGUUAAUGCUGAUGUGCUGAGUUUGUAUUCUCUUUUCUCCUGAAAUUAGGUAUCUGUUAAUGUAAUUUCUUAAAUUACUUUAAAUCCGGGAUCUGAAUCCUGGGCACUGAUCCCUAUGGCAUCAGCAUUAAAGCAAUGCACAUCUGCUGGGCACAAGAGUCAGAGUGAAGAUUUUCUCCAGCGUGAGAAACUGAGCUGAUUCUAAACCUCAAGUUUUUGGGAUUUCUCUGGUUACUUGCAGCUCUCCAGAGCUGUGGGCUCUGCUUCCCACUGCAGGGAGCAUCUGAGAGUCUCCAGAGGUUGCUGGAGACCUGUGGGGCCGGCAGGGAAGCGGUGCUGCGGUGCACUUCUCCAUCUGGUGGCUGCCUGGGGGUGAAGCAGCUCAGGGUGCUCACAGCAGCUCAGCUACCCUGAAGGCACAAGGCUCCCUGGAAAAAGAGAGAGAGGCAGAGGGUGUUGUCUGUCUGCACAUACACCUUCGCAGGGGGCACUGGCACAGCCUGUGGCAGUUUUUAUGUAUUUGUGAGGAGCCCUACUGGCAGUCCCAGGGCUGUGGCUGCUGCUUGGGGCACAGGAGCAAGGUCCCUGCUGGGUGGAUGAAGCUCUGCUGCUAGCAGAAGCCCGGGGAGCUGAGCCCAGCCUCGCAGGGGAAGGCUUUUCCCCAGCCUGAGGAGGUCUGUGGGUCUGAAGGGGUGACACAGGUCAGGGUGAGGAGCCAUCAGGCUUCUGCUCCUGCCAGCCCCAUGCUAAUGAGCUGCCGCACCCCAUAUUGUGACCCCUUCAGAAUUCUAACGGUUUUGGGUCACAGUUGAGCUGCCUCAGGCAGAAGCUCUGUGUCCUCCUCCGAGGCAGGUCGCAGUUCACGAGCUCUCUUCGAGUGAGCGUCAGGCAGCGGGUGUAAGCAGCUCCCAGCAAGGGAAAGCGGCUCCCAGCUGCCCAUUUUCGUGACUCCGGAGUCACAGCUGGUCUCUCUGAGCGGAUCCCACCUUGCCUAAGAGCUGACACACGCAGACAGCAGUUAGAAGGUGGAUCACGGAGGACCCUUGCAGAUCGUGUAGAGAUGUGGUGCAGAUGUCCGCAGGUAAGAGGCCUGAUAGCAGUGAUAGAAGUAAGUAAUGGGGAGGGGCUCAGCCCCAGUGCCCAGAGCAGAAAUGGUGCGUGUACCCCAGAUUCAGUUACUGGGUAAACGCAGUGAGUAAACCCAGAGGCAGUGCCAGCACUAGGACUGCCAAUCACAGCACAUAUGCCUGAGAAUUGGUGAGCGGGAGUGUUUCCGUCUCCCCCAGAUGCUACAAGUAAAUGUGUGUGUGCAGGUCGAUGUAAUUUGCUAGCAAACUUCCAGCCUGCCCUGGGAAUGGGCUGGGCUACCGGGCGGGCAGAGGCUUGUGCUGGUGUCCUGUGGGGAGCAGUUGGGGGCACUGGGGCUGUUUGGUCUGGGGAAGAGGAGGCUGAGGGGAGACCUCAUUGCUGUCUGCGCCUGCCUCAAAGGAGUGUGUGGGGAGCUGGGGGGGGGGGGCGGCCUUUUCUAAAAAAUAACUGGUGACAGGACUGGAGGGAACGGCCUCCAGUUGCGCUGGGGAGGUUUGGGUGGGAAAUGAGGGGACAUUUCUCCUCA
RNAcentral lists this long non-coding RNA (4949 nucleotides) under Anas zonorhyncha (Eastern spot-billed duck). RNAcentral's name for it is "lncRNA (ENSAZOG00000000932.1)". The record is from RNAcentral. Lineage: Eukaryota; Metazoa; Chordata; Aves; Anseriformes; Anatidae.